CUCGGAGUUUGAUCCUGGCUCAGAUUGAACGCUGGCGGAAUGCUUUACACAUGCAAGUCGAACGGUAGAGGGGGCAACCCCUUGAGAGUGGCGAACGGGUGAGUAAUAUAUCGGAACGUGCCCAGUCGUGGGGGAGUAACGUAGCGAAAGUUAACGCUAAUACCGCAUACGAUCUAAGGAUGAAAGCGGGGGACGUCGCAAGAGCCUCGCGCGAUUGGAGCGGCCGAUGUCAGAUUAGGUAGUUGGUGGGUAAAGGCUCACCAAGCCAACGAUCUGUAGCUGGUCUGAGAGGACGACCAGCCACACUGGAACUGAGACACGGUCCAGACUCCUACGGGAGGCAGCAGUGGGGAAUUUUGG
RNAcentral lists this ribosomal RNA (360 nucleotides) under uncultured Comamonadaceae bacterium. RNAcentral's name for it is "bacterial SSU rRNA". It matches the Rfam family "Bacterial small subunit ribosomal RNA", at positions 1 to 367 of the family's 1533-position model. Lineage: Bacteria; Pseudomonadati; Pseudomonadota; Betaproteobacteria; Burkholderiales; Comamonadaceae. The record is from RNAcentral.